AAUAGAUACCCGGGUAGUCCACGCCCUAAACGAUGCGAACUGGAUGUUGGGUUCAACUUGGAACCCAGUAUCGAAGCUAACGCGUUAAGUUCGCCGCCUGGGGAGUACGGUCGCAAGACUGAAACUCAAAGGAAUUGACGGGGGCCCGCACAAGCGGUGGAGUAUGUGGUUUAAUUCGAUGCAACGCGAAGAACCUUACCUGGUCUUGACAUCCACGGAACUUUCCAGAGAUGGAUUGGUGCCUUCGGGAACCGUGAGACAGGUGCUGCAUGGCUGCCGUCAGCUCGUGUCGUGAGAUGUUGGGUUAAGUCCCGCAACGAGCGCAACCCUUGUCCUUAGUUGCCAGCACGUAAUGGUGGGAACUCUAAGGAGACCGCCGGUGACAAACCGGAGGAAGGUGGGGAUGACGUCAAGUCAUCAUGGCCCUUACGACCAGGGCUACACACGUACUACAAUGGUGGGGACAGAGGGCCGCAAUCCCGCGAGGGUGAGCCAAUCCCAGAAACCCCAUCUCAGUCCGGAUCGGAGUCUGCAACUCGACU
Molecule: ribosomal RNA, 542 nt
Filed under: uncultured bacterium
Lineage: Bacteria
Description: bacterial SSU rRNA
Rfam family: Bacterial small subunit ribosomal RNA
Source: RNAcentral